RNAcentral lists this ribosomal RNA (499 nucleotides) under uncultured bacterium. Its description in RNAcentral is "bacterial SSU rRNA". It matches the Rfam family "Bacterial small subunit ribosomal RNA", at positions 899 to 1397 of the family's 1533-position model. The record is from RNAcentral.
ACUCAAAUGAAUUGACGGGGACCCGCACAAGCAGCGGAGCAUGUGGUUUAAUUCGAAGCAACGCGAAGAACCUUACCAGGGCUUGACAUCCCGAUGACUGGUAUAGAGAUAUACCUUCUCUUCGGAGCAUCGGUGACAGGUGGUGCAUGGUUGUCGUCAGCUCGUGUCGUGAGAUGUUGGGUUAAGUCCCGCAACGAGCGCAACCCCUAUUUUUAGUUGCCAGCAUUUAGGAUGGGCACUCUAAAGAGACUGCCGGGGAUAACUCGGAGGAAGGUGGGGACGACGUCAAAUCAUCAUGCCCCUUAUGUCCUGGGCUACACACGUGCUACAAUGGCCGGAAACAAAGGGCAGCUAAGCCGCGAGGUGGAGCUAAUCCCAUAAAGCCGGUCCCAGUUCGGAUUGUGGGCUGCAACUCGCCCACAUGAAGUCGGAGUUGCUAGUAAUCGCGAAUCAGCAUGUCGCGGUGAAUGCGUUCCCGGGUCUUGUACACACCGCCCGU